This is an RNA transcript of Manis javanica (Malayan pangolin), 3579 nucleotides long. It is a transcript of the gene named prolyl 3-hydroxylase 2, with no coding region annotated. NCBI's taxonomy places the organism in Eukaryota, Metazoa, Chordata, Mammalia, Pholidota, Manidae. The record is from RefSeq and is a predicted model, not a curated record.
AGCGCCAGCGGCCACCUGGGGUGCGCAGGGCAGUCAGAUCGUGGGGGCCGGCGCCCUCGCCCGCGCAGGUGGAGACCAGGCCCCGACGCCGGGGCCGCGAGCGUCCGGCAGCGCGGCGGAGGAUGCGGGAGCGCAUGUGGGCGCCGCUGUCGCUGCUGCUGGCUCUUCUGCUGCCGCCGCCGCUGUGGGGCGGCCCCCCGGACCGCGCGCUCCCGGAGCGGCAGCCCGAGCCCGGGCCUCUGCAGCCCUUCGACCUGCUCUACGCCAGCGGCGUGGCCGCCUACUACCGCGGGGACUACGAGAGAGCCGUGCGCGACUUGGAGGUAGCUCUGCGCAGCCACCGGCGCCUGCGGGAGAUCCGCGCGCGCUGCGCCCGCUACUGCGCCGCGCGCCGCCCUCUCGCGCCCCCGGGGGUCGGGCCCGGGGCCGAGCUGCCCUUCUUCCGUGCCUUGCUGGAGAGGGCGCGCUGCUACCGCGGCUGCCAGACCCAGCGCCUCGGGGGACCCGCGUCCCGCCACCGCGUCAGCGAGGAUGUGCGCAGCGACUUCCAGCGCAGAGUGCCCUACAACUACCUGCAGCGGGCCUACAUCAAGCUUAACCAGUUGGAAAAGGCAGUGCAAGCAGCCCACACAUUUUUCAUGGCCAACCCUGAGCACAUGGAAAUACAGCAGAACAUCGAGAAUUACAGGACAAUGGCCAGCACCGAACAACUCCAGUUGGUAGACCAAGAAGCCAGACCACACCUGGAGAGCUAUGGUGCAGGAGUGAAACAUUAUGAGGCUGAUGACUUUGAGCUAGCUAUCAAGUACUUUGAGCAAGCUUUAAGGGAAUAUUUCAACGAAGACAUGGAAUGCAGAGCCUUGUGUGAAGGGCCUCAGAGAUUUGAAGAGUAUGAAUACUUAGGAUAUAAAGCUGGUCUCUAUGAAGCCAUUGCAGAUCACUACAUGCAGGUGCUGGUCUGUCAGCAUGAGUGUGUGAGGGAACUAGCCACCCGCCCUGGCCGCCUCUCCCCAAUUGAGAACUUUCUUCCCCUGCAUUAUGACUACCUACAGUUUGCCUACUAUCAAGUUGGCGAGUAUGUGAGAGCUUUGGAGUGUGCCAAGGCCUACCUCCUGCUCCAUCCGGACGAUGAGGAUGUCCUGGACAAUGUGGAUCAUUAUGAGAGCCUCCUGGACGAUGGUACUGACCCAGGAUCCGUUGAGGCCAGAGAGGAUUUGACAGUGUUUGUGAAACGUCAUAAACUGGAAUCAGAGCUAAUAAAAUCAGCUGCAGAGGGCCUAGGAUUUUCAUACACUGAACCGAAUUAUUGGAUCCGUUAUGGAGGACGGCAGGAUGAGAAUCGGGUCCCUUCAGGAGUGAACGUGGAGGGUGCAGAAGUUCAUGGAUUGUCAAUGGGGAAAAAAUCAUCACCUAAGAUAGACCGAGACCUCAGAGAAGGUGGUCCUCUGCCCUAUGAGAACAUCACGCUCGUCUAUGACUCGCAACAGCUGAACGGGACUCAGCGGGUUCUCCUGGACAAUGUCCUGUCAGAAGAGCAGUGCCGGGAGCUCCACAGUGUGGCCAGCGGAAUCAUGCUUGUAGGAGAUGGAUACAGAGGAAAAACGUCACCCCACACACCCAAUGAAAAGUUUGAAGGUGCCACUGUCCUGAAAGCACUCAAAUUUGGGUAUGAAGGCCGAGUCCCACUGAAGAGUGCCCGUCUGUUUUAUGACAUCAGCGAGAAGGCUCGAAAGAUUGUAGAAUCCUAUUUCAUGUUGAACACAACCCUGUAUUUCUCCUAUACACACAUGGUCUGCCGAACUGCCCUGUCUGGUCAACAGGAUAGAAGAAAUGACCUCAGUCAUCCCAUCCAUGCUGACAACUGCCUGUUGGAUCCAGAGGCAAACGAAUGCUGGAAGGAGCCUCCUGCUUACACAUUCCGGGACUAUAGCGCUCUCCUAUAUAUGAAUGAUGACUUUGAAGGAGGAGAAUUCAUAUUCACCGAGAUGGAUGCCAAGACUGUGACUGUAGGCCUCUAUAAAACCAAAGUGUGGGCGUAUGAUUAGUUUCUCAUCUGGAGGAGAGAACCCACAUGGGGUAAAGGCUGUCACCAAGGGCCAGAGGUGUGCUGUGGCGCUGUGGUUUACCUUGGACCCACUUUAUAGAGAACUGGAGCGAAUACAGGCCGAUGAAGUGAUCACAAUCUUAGAUCAAGAACAGCAAGGGAAGCACCAACUGAAUAUCAACCCCAAAGAUGAGCUGUAAAAUGAGAGUGUUCUAUUAUCAGAUAUUUAUUUAAAUUGUUAAUCUUAUGAGAACCUUUUUAUUUUUGUACAGAGCCAUGGUAUAAAUUAACAGGUUAACCUGAGUCACCCUUCUGUCCUUCUGUCCCUAAGGAUGCUUGCUUUGCCUCACUCUGUCCUGGUAUUUCAAUUCAUCUCUCAAAGCCUGGUCACCCACUCCACCCUGCAAAAACACACACACACACACACACACACACACACACACACACACACACACACGCACACGUGUACUUCAUUUGCUCCUAGUGUGGGAUUUGGAGUCAGGGCCUUCUGGCUCUGUGCUCCAGGAAGGGCUGCCCUAUGACUUUUCUCUUUAAACGGGGGUUGAAGAAUGAUUCUUUACCACAGUGACUUUGGAAGAAAAUCUGUAAUCCCACCUGAAUCAGGACUCCAUCAUCACACUGUGUGAGAGUGGGGUUCACUGGAGAGAAGGAUCAUUUUGUAAGAAAAAUGGACUUCUGAUGGGCUCCAGUCUUCAUCUGCCUGUGUUUUGCCGACCCCUCCUCUUGCUCCUGUCCAGCACAUGGAUUCAUGCUUGUGUCGUAUUUGUUUAAUACAGGGAGGCUUAUUUUACUAUCCGGCAUUUAUCUUCCUUCUCCCAAACUUUUGGUUUAUCUUGGGAAAUGGCUUUUUGGUCCCACAGGUGCUUUGGGGACAGCCCAGAGACAACACUGGCCUAUGGUGAGUUUUGCUGGCAGUUGCUCCAGGGCUGCAGGAAGGCGGGAGAACUGCUUUCGAAGGAACAGAUGGUUAGCAAACAGAGGGGUUAAAUCCAGAGAGCCUCUGGUCCUUGCUGCAGUUCUAAGGAAGACACGGCACAGACAUUGUUUGGGGUAUGACUGGGGUGGUUCUAGCCUAGGGGAGCCUGCACCACCAACGAGGGGGGAUCACCUGCCUCUGCGAUGGGCAGUAGUAGAGGUAGAGGCCCUUAAGAGAACCAGCAAAUCAAAACAUUUCUGAAAAAUCACAUUUCCUUUCUGCCAUUUAUGAUCAUGUUUAGCGGUAAGAACAUUCAGUCUUUGACACUGAGAAACUGAUUCAUAGAGAUUUAUGUGCCACCUGUUUCCACCCGACCUUUGGUUGCCUUUUCAUCAUGGGAGAAUGGAAAGAGCACUCGGGUUAUGAUCCCGGCCUGAUCAGAUGUGCCCUGCUGUGUGACUGGAGCUACUCUCUUUCCCUUUCUGGGCGUCGGUUUCCUCUUCUGAAAAUGACAUAAUGGGUUGUAAUUGUUUCCAAAAGCCCUCCUGCCUCUUGCUCCAUAAACAAAACAAAGCAAAUAAAACAAAAACAAAACUGA